AGCCUGAACGCUGGCGGCGUGGCUAAGACAUGCAAGUCGUACGGGUGUAGCAAUACACCAGUGGCGGACGGGUGAGUAAUGUAUCGCUAACGUACCCCGGAUUCUGGGAUAGCUGCCCGAAAGGGCAGGUAAUACCGGAUGAUAUAUCCUUUUCGCAUGAUGAGGAUCUCAAAGGGAAACCGUUCUGGGAGCGGGCGAUAUCGUAUCAGCUAGUUGGUGAGGUAACGGCUCACCAAGGCGACGACGCGUAGCCGGACUGAGAGGUUGGCCGGCCACAUUGGGACUGAGACACUGCCCAGACUCCUACGGGGGGCUGCAGUAACGAAUCUUCCGCAAUGCACGCAAGUGUGACGGAGCGACGCCGCGUGUGGGACGAAGUCCUUCGGGAUGUAAACCACUGUCAGGGGUUAGAAAGUUCUGAUCAACCCCAGAGGAAGGCACGGCUAACUCUGCGCCAGCAGCCGCGGUAA
This 470-nucleotide ribosomal RNA is filed under the name uncultured bacterium. RNAcentral describes it as "SSU rRNA". It matches the Rfam family "Bacterial small subunit ribosomal RNA", at positions 26 to 523 of the family's 1533-position model. The record is from RNAcentral.